Molecule: small nucleolar RNA, 106 nt
Organism: Humulus lupulus (European hop)
Lineage: Eukaryota; Viridiplantae; Streptophyta; Magnoliopsida; Rosales; Cannabaceae
Source: RefSeq, a predicted model, not a curated record
AACCAUGAUGAGGGAAUUUUCUUUGUAACUCUUUCAACUUCCCCCAUGCUUCAUAUAAAGACUCUUCAUCUAGUUGUUGGAAAGAAGUGAUCUCAUUUCGCAGCUU